UGGGGAAUUUUCCGCAAUGGGCGAAAGCCUGACGGAGCAAUACCGCGUGAGGGAUGAAGGCCUGUGGGUUGUAAACCUCUUUUCUCAAGGAAGAAUCUAUGACGGUACUUGAGGAAUAAGCAUCGGCUAACUCUGUGCCAGCAGCCGCGGUAAUACAGAGGAUGCAAGCGUUAUCCGGAAUCACUGGGCAUAAAGCGUCUGUAGGUGGCUUACUAAGUCUGCUGUUAAAGACUAGGGCCCAACCCUAGAAAAGCAGUGGAAACUAGUUCGCUCGAGUAUGGUAGAGGUGGAGGGAAUUCCUAGUGUAGCGGUGAAAUGCGUAGAUAUUAGGAAGAACACCAACGGCGAAAGCACUCCACUGGGCCACAACUGACACUGAGAGACGACAGCUAGGGGAGCAAAUGGG
RNAcentral lists this ribosomal RNA (406 nucleotides) under uncultured bacterium. RNAcentral's name for it is "bacterial SSU rRNA". It matches the Rfam family "Bacterial small subunit ribosomal RNA", at positions 355 to 776 of the family's 1533-position model. The record is from RNAcentral.